UAAUUUUUCUCAAAAAACUGUUAACAAACAAUUUUAUUUCUUCUUUCAGGUAAACCAUGAAUACAGCAAUAGUGACUAUUUUUUGUCUGAUGUUGAUUAACAUAAAUUCUGAGGCGAAUGGAUGUAAAUGUGAUCCAUCACAAAGAAAUGCUUUCUGUAGAGCUGAUUUCGGUAAGAUUAAAUAGUGUAUGGAUUUUAUAAUUAAUUUCAUAAGAUUUAAAAAAUACUCAUUCUUUACAAAGGAUGACAACGCUAUAACUUGAAGAUUUAAAACACUUUAUAUGGGGACGAAGUCCCCAAUUACGGUAGAAAAAAAAAAAAAAGGAAAAAAAUCGGGAAAAUUUACCGAAUUUUCAUUCUUCUAAUGAACUCAAAAUCGUUAACUUUUUUUUCAGACUUUUUUAAAUCCCCGCAUCUGCGCAGAAAUCUACUUCCUUUUCCGGUCUUGUUGGCAUGAGAAUUUGAAUAAUAUAUAUAUUUAUCAGUUAACUAAGAUAUAAGAAAGGAACUCAAUACCAAUUCAUCUUUAAUAAUUGUUUGAUACAUAAAAAACGUUAUCUGAUGACAGCAUUUCUUUUUUUACAUUGAAUAUGACGUCAUAACUUAAAUAACGUCACAAUUAAAUCCCUAACCACAGAACCAAAAUCGGAAACGUUACGGUAUUUCCGUUUUUUUUAUGAACAUGUUUGCAUUAAAAAAAAACAUACAGACUUCGUUCCCAUUAUUAAGUAAUGCCUGCCUCAUAUUAAAUGUCAUCUGUUGGACAUUGUUGGAUGCGCUCUUUUGAAAGAAAUCUUCAUCAUUAAGCCCGGAUAGAUAUAUACAAAAAUAUUAAAAGCUAUCAAACCAAAUAACAGCAAUGAACAAGAGAUUUCCGCAAAUGAAAAAUGGCCAAAAGAAUAACAAUUAAUUGAACAUUUACAUUUUACAACUUGCUGUUUGAUUAUAGGUUUAUUCUGAAUUGAAACAUAUUAUAGAUGAAAACAAUUCUUGCAUCUUUUUGGGGAUAUCAAUCCAGGAAAGUGGGGGGACAUCAUGUUUACUGGAAGUGGUGCGGCCUAGGUAAAACAGCAAACAGAAAGUAGACAAAAAAUGUUUUGACUUCAGCGUUACGUACCUUUUUAUUCUUCGUGGCAUGAUCCAUUUUGUUUCUCGAUUAAAUCACAAUUUCACAUUAGUACAUACAUGAUAUGAACAUGAUUUAUUUUUUUAUGUAGCAUUUUGUUUUAUUUUCAAAGAUCAGCUGUUUGCAUGUAAGCUUAUGGAGCAGUCAACUACAGACUGCAACCUAAAGAUUUAUCAGUACAUGUAUUACCAUCUUACAUAUGAUUAUGUACCUUGACAAGCCUUAGUCAAACUGAAUUUAUUCACCUCUUAUGAUGAUUUUUAACUCACACUUUCUUCAAUGUUCUCCAAAUUGAAAAUCUCACAAAAUGUGUCAGACUUUUGAAAUACAAAUAUGUUUUUUUCCCGAUAAAUAUGGAUUUUAGGAAUAUCAUUUGGAUGUAUCUGCAUAUAUUAUGUUGAUUAAACUACAAUGCUGUAUGUUUAUACGCAAAUCAUAUCUUUUGAGCAAAUGCUUUUAUUUUCAUUGAAGUAUCACGCGGAAUUGUCAAACAGAAGAGGACAUUUGCAAGUGGUGGAAUUGAGUAUGAAGUGGACGUGAAAGAUAAUUUUAAGGUAGACAAUUUGACAUAAUGUUAUUAAAUGUAAUACUAUACGUUAUGGGUGCUAUAACUGUUUGAGACCCGCCUUGGUUAAACAUUCCCUUAAACCUAUAGUUGUUUACAUCUGCGACAUAUGCUAUAUGGGGAAUAGUUGUGUUGUUGGCAGUAAUACAACAUGAUCCCACGAAUUUGGAUGUCUAGCAGAAUCUAUCAAAUUACUAUCUUCAUAUAUUCACAAUGACAUAUCUAUAUUAAUUGUUUUGCAUUUAUUUAUCAAUAUUGAUGUCUGAGUAACUAUAAAUAACAUAAAAAAAAUUAAUACAGGGUCAGAUAUAAUACCAAAAUACAAAAUUCUAUAAACUGUACAUUUGAUUUAUACCAGUUACUUGCAAACUUUAUAAUCCAUGUGUGUCAAUUGAAUUAUGUUAAUCCCCAAAACUUUAAAAGAUUGGGCCAACACAGCUGCCACGUGCGGUUGGAAAUUAAAAACUCAGUGUUGGCAUGCUAGUCAUACAUUAGGUUUGUUACCUCCGUAUCUUCAGUAUGCCUUCGUAAUAUACAAAUAUUGUCAAUAAUUUUAAUAACGGCCGGGAAACAGACUAGUCAUACAUUGGUUUGACUGCGUCAGCCAAUCAGCCAGUGAGGGCACUCUGGUGAAUAAUUAAUCACCCUAAAUCAUUACAUAUCACUAUAUUUGAAUUUAUGGAUAGGCUGUUUUAACUAUGUUCAAAUGUCGCAAAUAAAUAAGUGAAAGACAGGCCAAUAUAACAAAAAACAUAUAUGGCGGGAACCCAAUAAUUUCCAAAAAAGAUCGAGACUAAUUUGCCGACGGGGUUUAACGUCUCCUGUUAAAAUUGAAUGUAAUCUGUUUUCGGAGAGUCUCUUAGUAUACUGACAAAGUUUUUAAGUUUAAGUUUUAUAAAUGUAUAUACUGUGGGUGUAUUUACUCCUGUAGGAACCCAUUUUUUAAUAUUUAGGUAACUUCGUAUUUAUCGUGAAUAUUUGAGUUCGCUUUUCGGUUAAAGCCUACAAGCCUCUAAAGAUGUGUAUUUAAUUGAACAUUGAUAUAAGUGUUUAAUUUACGCAAGGAAUCCUAUACAUUUUUAUUCAUCUGAUAAUUGACUCAUCCGUAAUCGUGAAAGUUUAAUAACAAUUACCAUAAGAUUCUUCUAGAAAAUGCUAUACCGAAUGAUUUUUUUAAACUUUGCCAAGAAGAUUAAAUCAAAAAUAAUAAUCAGGAAUAUAACAAUAUCAACAUGCGUACAUGUAAAAAUAAACGUUUGGAAAAUGAAUGAUUAAUUUACAUACCAAAGAGAUAUUCAAAAUCUGAAAUACAUUAAUUCCAGUAUAAUCUGGUGUAAAUACAUAUCAGAUGCUCUCGAUAGAUUAACAGAACUUAUACAUUCCUUAAGGUUUUCAAUAUUGAGAAAAAGGAAGAAAAGGUGAGUUAAAAAUCAUCAUAUGAGGUUAAGUAAUCCAGGUUGACGCAAAUACUAUUAUGUUUUUUGUUAAGGUACGUAAUCAUAUACAAGAUGGUUUUAUAUUUCAAAAACGUGUGAAUAAACAGUUACUGAUGAAUCUUUAAGGCGUAAAUCCUACUAAAGCAGACAAAUUAACCAUUCGUAUUUUUUAUGCUCGUUUUUUAAAAGAAUCAGAGAUAGAAGGUUCCCUACGAUGUACAUUAUGAGAUGUAAAUCUAAGAAAAAGGAAGUACAUUUAGAAGGUCGAUUUUAAUUGGAUGUUAAUGACAAAAAACUACAACUAUUUGAUAUCUUUGUUCUAAAUUACAGAUCAAAGUCAAGAACCCAAUGAGACUUCGGUCUAAUACAAAUACAUGUGGAGUGAGUCUAACGACAGGAACUGAAUAUUUAAUUUCGGGUGAGUCAUUCUAUCAAAUCUGUUUUCUCCUUUCUACAAAUCAUAUCUGGAUGUGACUAUAGAAUGGGAGCAGCUCGUGCGUAUUAUUUCUUGGAUUUAUGAAUAUGUUGGCCUCAUGCAUCGACUGCAAAUGAUAUAUCAAUUGUCCAUAUGUGCGUUUGGUGCAGUCAAAUCGUCCAAGUAUCACUUUAAAUGACAAUUUCGUUUUCUAAAACAGUGUUAUUUUUUUAUCAUUUCAUUUUGAUAUGGUUGUACAGAAACAGUUCAGGUUAUGACCCUUUUAAAUAAAUAUCCCUUAUGGAUGUUUAAUCUUCUUGUUUUUGAGUUUUUGUCAGUUAUUCAGAAUCAGUUUCAAAAUUUAGAGUGAAUUGUUUCUCGCGCUAUUUGCAAUGGUUAAUAUCACGAAAACAAGCUCAUACUUCCUUUAUUUUCUGCUUUUUAGUUACAUUAUUUACAUACUACCAAUUUAUAACAGUCUUUCAAAAAGCUUGGUAUUAUGAAACAGGGAAGCGAACAUCCUUAAACAUUUGAAACUCAUUUAUAUUUAUAAAAGUGCAAUUUGUAAGCUACAUCUAUCAGAUCAACCAAUUAAUAUCGUUUUUCCUGCUGGCUUUGCAUUGUGUUUUUAAAAUACAAAACAAUGUGUCAGAUAAUUAAACGGAUUAAAUCGUUUAUAACAAAAGUACCAGGUGUAUUAUCUAAUACGCCAUUUUCGUCAACAUGCGACUCAUCAGUGACGCUCAGAUCAAAAUAGUAAGAAAUCUAAACAAGUACAGCAAUGACGAGCGUUUAGGACUAAAAAUUUUAAAAUGUUGUGCCAAAUACAGCUAAUGUAAUAUAUGACUGGGAUUAGAAAAUCCUUAGUCUUUCGAAUAAAUCAUACUCUUGCAAACAGUAUAUUUAUAAAAAUGACCCUACAAUUUAUAUAUUAAUGUCAAUACCGAAGUGCUGACUACUGGUCUAUGGAUUCCUUUGGGGACGAAACGUCGACCAGUAGUGGCAUCGACCCAGGAAUGUAAAUUAUUAUCAAAGAUACCUGGCUCAUUAAGAUGUCUAUCCGUAAGACAAUACAUAUACCAUAUAAAGAAACAUUAAGACAUAUAUAGCAUUGUUAUGUUUUCUUAUUUCAGGGGAAGAAAGGAAAAGCCCAUUCCUUACAUUUUACAAAACAAAUGCCUGCUUUUGGAUACAAAAUUGGAGGGACGUACCAAUUACAACACAAAUAGCACUUGCAACAAAAAAGUUUCCUAAUUGUUAAAAGAAAUAAAGCACAUCACUAUUUAUAGACUGUAUUGGUUAAUUUGGCAUAAAAGAAAUG
RNAcentral lists this long non-coding RNA (4863 nucleotides) under Mytilus galloprovincialis (Mediterranean mussel). Lineage: Eukaryota; Metazoa; Mollusca; Bivalvia; Mytilida; Mytilidae. The record is from RNAcentral.